This 612-nucleotide ribosomal RNA is filed under the name uncultured bacterium. RNAcentral describes it as "bacterial SSU rRNA". It matches the Rfam family "Bacterial small subunit ribosomal RNA", at positions 215 to 842 of the family's 1533-position model. The record is from RNAcentral.
CCGGCAAGCGAUGGAUCCGCGUCCGAUUAGCCAGUUGGCGGGGUAAGGGCCCACCAAAGCGACGAUCGGUAGCCGGCCUGAGAGGGCGGACGGCCACAUUGGGACUGAGACACGGCCCAGACUCCUACGGGAGGCAGCAGUGGGGGAUAUUGCACAAUGGGGGAAACCCUGAUGCAGCGACGCCGCGUGGGUGAAGAAGUAUUUCGGUAUGUAAAGCCCUAUCGGCAGGGAAGAAAGAAGACGGUACCUGACUAAGAAGCCCCGGCUAACUACGUGCCAGCAGCCGCGGUAAUACGUAGGGGGCGAGCGUUAUCCGGAUUCACUGGGUGUAAAGGGAGCGUAGACGGCCGUGCAAGCCAGGAGUGAAAGCCCGGGGCCCAACCCCGGGACUGCUCUUGGAACUGUGCGGCUGGAGUGCGGGAGGGGCAGGCGGAAUUCCUGGUGUAGCGGUGAAAUGCGUAGAUAUCAGGAGGAACACCGGCGGCGAAGGCGGCCUGCUGGACCGCGACUGACGUUGAGGCUCGAAAGCGUGGGGAGCGAACAGGAUUAGAUACCCUGGUAGUCCACGCCGUAAACGAUGACUACUAGGUGUCGGGGCACGACAGUGCUUCG